Non-coding RNA from Epinephelus lanceolatus (giant grouper), 329 nucleotides. NCBI's taxonomy places the organism in Eukaryota, Metazoa, Chordata, Actinopteri, Perciformes, Serranidae. The record is from RefSeq and is a predicted model, not a curated record.
AGCAUUUUGCGCCACAUGGACGUCUGCCACACAUUUCAUGGACUAUCGUUUGCUUAAAGAUGCAUGAAGAAUCUGUGACUAAAAGUUAUUAACAGGAUGGCAGAGAUGGAGGCAAAGCUCCGAGUAAUAAUUGAUGACCGAAUUGAGAAGUUGGUCCUUCCAUCAGGAAUCCCACCCACUGUGGAGGAGCUGCAAACUAUUGUGAAGGAGACCUAUGGGAUUUCUGAUGAGUUCAGUCUUCAGCAUUUGGACUUGGAAUUUGAAGAUUACUUUACUCUUCACAACACUGACCUUAUUAAACACAAAGACACCAUAAAGGUUGUUCACAC